This 83-nucleotide transfer RNA is filed under the name Microcaldota archaeon. Its description in RNAcentral is "tRNA-Ser". It matches the Rfam family "tRNA". Rfam says of the family: Transfer RNA (tRNA) molecules are approximately 80 nucleotides in length. Their secondary structure includes four short double-helical elements and three loops (D, anti-codon, and T loops). The record is from RNAcentral. Lineage: Archaea; Nanobdellati; Microcaldota.
GCCGGGAUGCCGGAACGGCUAACGGGCCGGACUCGAGAUCCGGUGCCCUUAUGGGCUUGGGGGUUCGAAUCCCUCUCCCGGCG